ACCUAAGAAUGAAGAAACCAGGCUUAGCAGAAAUUUAUAGCCAGCCCUCCCAGGGCCUAGGCCCUUUAAGUAACAGAAAGGGCAGAACCAGGAAUCUGGUCCAAAGACUCACACACCAACCACGGCUACUUCCUCCCUGCACAACCAAUCAGUCUUCCGCCGUUUGCUGGCGUGCACUUGUUCCUGCUGUGUUUUGGAAGAGAGGCUGGGUGUCGAGUUUUCACCUCCGCUCUCCCUGCAGGAGGUGAUGUUCCAGCCACUUCUGGCUCGAGCCUUCUCCUCCUAGACCCCUGUCCGCUUUCAGGGCCACGGACAGAACCAACCUGCAAGAAAUCCUGCACUUAGCUGGUCCUUUCUGUCCAGGCUCCUGCAAUCUUCCUCGGGACAGUCGUCCGCCCCCGUGCCUCCUCGCUGAAGAGCUUUUAAUUUUUAAGAUUGAUUUUCUUUAUUUGAAAGAGUUAGAGAGAGAGCGAAGAGCCCCUUUGCGAAGUGCAGAAGCUUGGCGCCUUCCCCGGCAGCCAUCCUGAGCCCGCCACCGCCAGCCCCGGGCAGGCUCCACCCCGCCGGCGCUGCCCGAGCCCUGCUGCCCGCUCCGGAGCUGACCCGGCCUCCGCUGCUCCCUGGACUUCCCCACAGCCCACGGCCACGAGCCCCUGAGAGCCAGCACACGCGGCCACAGAGCAGUUAGUGUGAACGCCCAGGAAAAUGCGCAGCUGAGGAAUAAAAACAACGAAGCACAUGGGGGACUAGAGUUACCUCCCUGUCUGGGAUUGGCGGGCAGCUGGCUGAAGCUGACCCAAAUGGCUCAUGGGUCAGUCCGCUGACACGCAUUCGGCGUGUGAAAAUCUCCUGAAGUGUGGAAUUGGUGUCUUCAGGCGCAGGGAAACACCCAGAGCUCCCUGGGGGGCCAAUGCUACAGCUGUCUCGGAAAACCCCAAAAUCUCAUCGGUGUUCCCCCUUCAAUGUCAACGAACACUUAAUCAGACCAGAAUCUAGCAUCAGCUACAUACCGAAUGAUUUGCAGAUCCUCACUGAUGGGUGAUCCAAAAAUGAUGGUACCAUAAACGCCUCCGAGUGUAAGACAGCAAAAACAGAGAGGAUCCAGACGGAAAUUCUUCCUCCCCAUGCUCUCUGGCCGGGAUGCAACAGCACCACCCCCAGACGCGGUGGAGGAGACCCAAGGUCACUUCCGGGGAGGGGUAGUGCCGGAGACGUCUCAGUCUCAUCAUCUCAUCGCCUUAUCGCAGGCAGCAGGCCGGCGGCGCCAGGAAGGUGGAGUGGCCGCGACUGCAUGGAAUGCCUGGGCCCUCGGCCUUGAAGGCAGCUUCGUGGAGCCCCUCCCCCUCGUGUGGGCCUGGCAGUCACAUUUUCACAGGCUUUAAAGAAGGGGCUGUGGUCUAGAAGGGCUCUCAGAGCUGGAGUGAGGGACCCCAAUCGUCUCACUGUGGAUUGGAUGGGGCAAGCAGGACCCUGGCUGGCAGGUGGCCCUGCUGGGGGACCACAUGGGAUGCGUCAGCCUGCAGAAGACACCAGGGAGGCCCUGACAGCACAAGGCAAGGGUGACACCCCUUUCCGCCCUGGACUAAAGAGGCAGUGGUGUAAAAUCACCCCUUUGGCCACGCAGGCUUAUUUUUAGCUCCAGGGGAUGAAGCAGGAGGGGAAGACAGGCCUAAGUGGGAGUGGCCUUCAUCCUGAGUGUUGGAGCAAUCAGGAUGACUGGAAAUGACAAGAUUAAAUUCUCACAAAAGAAAUUCAAGGGACUGGCAUGUGGCUUAGAAGGCUAAGCCUCUGCCUACCUUGCUGGCAUCCCAUAUGGGUGCCGAUGCAAGUCCUGGCUGUUCCACUUCCCAAUCCAGCUCUCUGCUGUGGUCUGGGAAAGCAGUGGAAGAUGGCCCAAGUGCUUGGGUCCCUGCACCACGUGGGAGAUCCAGAAGAAGCUCUUGGCUUCCUAUUGGCCCAGGCACACCCCCACACACCCCACACACCCCACACACCCCAACCCCACCCUGUGUGGCCAUUUGGGAGUGAACCAGCAGAUGGAAGACCUUUCUCUCUGUCUCUUCCUUUCUCUGUCUGUAACUCUACCUCUCAAAUAAAUAAAUAAAAUCUUCUUUAAAAAAGGAAAUUCAAUAGGGAUAUAGAACAUAAAAGACUCUUGAGCCUGUUACUCAGGAAAUAUGCCCUCACUGAAUGCUUUGCAUGUUUUUUUUUUUUUUUUAAUAUUCAUUUGUUGGUUCACUCCCCAAAUGGCCGCAAUGGCCAGAGCUCGUCUAAAGUCAGGAGCCAGGAGGUCUCCCACAUGGGUGCAGGGCCCAAGCACUUCGGCCACCUUUUGCUGCUUUAUCAGUUGCAUUAGCCGGGAGCUGGAUCAGAAGUAGAGCAGCCAGGGCUUGAACCAGUGCCCAUAUGGGAUGCCAGCAUUGCAGGUGGUGGCUUAACCCAUUGUGCCAUAGCACUGGCCCCAUGUUUUUCAUAAUUUUAAAAUAUUCAGUCGUGCUGCUGGCGUUGUGGUGCAGCAGGUUAAGCUACAGCCCGAGAUGCUGGCAUUCCAUAUAAAGGAUGGUUUGAGUCCUGGCUGCUCUGCUUCCAAUCUGGCUCCCUGCCAAUGCAGCUGAGAAGGCAGUGGAAGGUGGCCCAAGGCUUGGGCCCCUGCCAGCCACUUGGGAGACCAGGAGACAAUUCUAGGCUCUCGGUUCAGCCUGGCCCAGCCCUGGCUAUUGUGGCCAUUUGGGGAGUGAAUCAGAGUAUAGAAGCUCUCCUCCCCCUGCCACUCCCCGCCCUGACCCCUGCUGUCCCAUAACUCUGUAAAACUUUUUAUAAAAAAUGAAAACCCCGGGGCCGGCGCCGUGGCUCACUAGGCUAAUCCUCCGCCUAGCGGCGCUGGCACACCGGGUUCUAGUCCCGGUCGGGGCGCCGGAUUCUGUCCCGGUUGCCCCUCUUCCAGGCCAGCCCUCUGCUGUGGCCAGGGAGUGCAGUGGAGGAUGGCCCAGGUGCUUGGGCCCUGCACCCCAUGGGAGACCAGGAAAAGCACCUGGCUCCUGGCUCCUGCCAUCGGAUCAGCGCGGUGCGCCGGCCGCAGUGCGCUGGCCGCGGCGGCCAUUGGAGGGUGAACCAACGGCAAAGGAAGACCUUUCUCUCUGUCUCUCUCUCUCACUGUCCACUCUGCCUGUCAAAAAAAAAAAAAAAAAGACUUAUUCUAUGCAUCUGCUCUCCCACAAUAUGGCGCUGGGAGAGGAGGAAACAGCUUCUACACAGAUGCCUCCAGUUCAACCAAUAAACUGUAGGACCUGCUCCUGAUUGGAGGAGAGCAGCGUACUCGGCAUGUGGGUAGCAGAGUUGGGAUUGGUGGAAGAGGACUAUAAAGGAGGAGAGAGACAACAUGCACCAGGAACAUCUAAGGGGAACAUCUAUCUGAAGGAACACCUGUGCAGCCCCCGAGAGAGCCGGCCGGCGGUGUGCCGCUCCCCCGCGGAAGUGGGGAAAGUGGCAGGGGGAACCGCCCUUCCACGGAGGUGGAAGGGACGGUAGCCAACCCGGGAAGAACCAGCAGCAAACCCGGGGAGGGCCGAGCAGACAAAAGAACAACGCAGGGUCCUGUGUCGUUCCUCCACGAAGAGGGGGAGCGACACUUCCUAGCA
Non-coding RNA from Oryctolagus cuniculus (rabbit), 3638 nucleotides. The record is from RefSeq and is a predicted model, not a curated record. NCBI's taxonomy places the organism in Eukaryota, Metazoa, Chordata, Mammalia, Lagomorpha, Leporidae.